GAAUUAUAUUAGAGGACGUGCUUUAUUCACUUUAGUUGGGGUUUCAUCCAGUUUUCUAGGGCGUGGAGGGAUGGAAGGUGCUAGGUGGUGGUUGGUUAUAAUUGGAGAGCUGGGUCAAAGGGAAACAUACACACGCACACUAUACAACAUACAUAUGCUGCUUCAGUUAGUUCAUGUGGAAAUAAGUAACGGAUUAAGUUUUAGAAAUUAGAAUUGGUAGCUAAGGUGUUCAUGAAUAUGACUGUAUCCUAGGCAGCUUUUCAGUUUUAUAUUUCUACCAAUUUAUUGGGCACUUCAUCAAAUCUUUUACAUGAUAUUGAUGGCAAACUUUUUACAUGAUUAAUUUUGGGUUGAGAAGCUUUUAAUUGACAGUAGGGGUGUGCGAAUC
Molecule: unclassified non-coding RNA, 388 nt
Filed under: Hevea brasiliensis (rubber tree)
Lineage: Eukaryota; Viridiplantae; Streptophyta; Magnoliopsida; Malpighiales; Euphorbiaceae
Source: RNAcentral